RNAcentral lists this ribosomal RNA (468 nucleotides) under uncultured bacterium. Its description in RNAcentral is "partial 16S ribosomal RNA". It matches the Rfam family "Bacterial small subunit ribosomal RNA", at positions 28 to 507 of the family's 1533-position model. The record is from RNAcentral.
GACGAACGCUGGCGGCGUGCUUAACACAUGCAAGUCGAACGGAAAGGCCCUGCUUUUGUGGGGUGCUCGAGUGGCGAACGGGUGAGUCACACGUGAGUAACCUGCCCUUGACUUUGGGAUAACUUCAGGAAACUGGGGCUAAUACCGGUUAGGAGCUCCUGCUGCAUGGUGGUGGUUGGAAAGUUUCGGCGGUUGGGGAUGGACUCGCGGCUUAUCAGCUUGUUGGUGGGGUAGUGGCUUACCAAGGCUUUGACGGGUAGCCGGCCUGAGAGGGUGACCGGCCACAUUGGGACUGAGAUACGGCCCAGACUCCUACGGGAGGCAGCAGUGGGGAAUAUUGCACAAUGGGCGGAAGCCUGAUGCAGCAACGCCGCGUGCGGGAUGACGGCCUUCGGGUUGUAAACCGCUUUCGCCUGUGACGAAGCGUGAGUGACGGUAAUGGGUAAAGAAGCACCGGCUAACUACGUG